CGACCCCAGGUCAGACGAGACUACCCGCUGAGUUUAAGCAUAUAAAUAAGCGGAGGAGAAGAAACUUACAAGGAUUCCCCUA
This 82-nucleotide ribosomal RNA is filed under the name Digitaria sanguinalis. RNAcentral's name for it is "partial 25S ribosomal RNA". It matches the Rfam family "Eukaryotic large subunit ribosomal RNA", at positions 1 to 82 of the family's 3401-position model. The record is from RNAcentral. Lineage: Eukaryota; Viridiplantae; Streptophyta; Magnoliopsida; Poales; Poaceae.